UACACCAUUGCAAAAAGCUGCAUCUCGCGGUCAUGUUGAUAUCUUACAACUGUUGCUUAACCAUGGUGCCAGUGUGAACGCGGUGAACAAUGAGGGUUAUACACCAUUGCACUACGCUGCAUAUUGGGGUCAUGUUGAUAUCUUACAACUGUUGCUUAACCAUGGUGCCAGUGUGAACGCGGUGAACAAUGAUGGUGAUACACCAUUGUACGAAGCUGCAUUAAAUAAUCAUGUUGAUAUCUUACAACUGUUGCUUAACCAUGGUGCCAGUGUGAACGCGGUGAGCAAUAUGGGUGAUACACCAUUGCACGAAGCUGCAGAUGAAGGUCAUGUUGAUAUCUUACAACUGUUGCUUAACCAUGGUGCCAGUGUGAACGCGGUGAGAAAUGUUGGUGAUACACCAUUGCACUACGCUGCACGUGAAGGUCAUGUUGAUAGCUUACAACUGUUGCUUAACCAUGGUGCCAGCGUGAACGCGGUGAGCAAUUUUGGUAAUACACCAUUGCACGAAGCUGCAGAUGAAGGUCAUGUUGAUAUCUUACAACUGUUGCUUAACCAUGGUGCCAGUGUGAACGCGGUGGGAAAUGUUGGUGAUACACCAUUGCACUACGCUGCACGUGAAGGUCAUGUUGAUAGCUUACAACUGUUGCUUAACCAUGGUGCCAGCGUGAACGCGGUGAACAAGCAGGGUCAUACACCAUUGC
Molecule: non-coding RNA, 704 nt
Organism: Paramuricea clavata
Lineage: Eukaryota; Metazoa; Cnidaria; Anthozoa; Malacalcyonacea; Plexauridae
Source: the annotation of a GenBank genome assembly